This 504-nucleotide ribosomal RNA is filed under the name uncultured bacterium. Its description in RNAcentral is "partial 16S ribosomal RNA". It matches the Rfam family "Bacterial small subunit ribosomal RNA", at positions 30 to 523 of the family's 1533-position model. The record is from RNAcentral.
AUUGAACGCUGGCGGCAUGCCUUACACAUGCAAGUCGAACGACAGCAUGGAGAGCUUGCUCUCUGAUGGCGAGUGGCGAACGGGUGAGUAAUGCAUCGGAACGUACCGUGUAAUGGGGGAUAACGUAGCGAAAGUUACGCUAAUACCGCAUACGACCUGAGGGUGAAAGCAGGGGAUCGCAAGACCUUGCGUUAUACGAGCGGCCGAUGUCAGAUUAGCUAGUUGGUGAGGUAAAGGCUCACCAAGGCGACGAUCUGUAGCGGGUCUGAGAGGAUGAUCCGCCACACUGGGACUGUGACACGGCCCAGACUCCUACGGGAGGCAGCAGUGGGGAAGUUUGGACAAUGGGGGCAACCCUGAUCCAGCCAUGCCGCGUGAGUGAAGAAGGCCUUCGGGUUGUAAAGCUCUUUCGGCCGGGAAGAAAUCGCGCAGGCUAAUACUCUGUGUGGAUGACGGUACCGGCAUAAGAAGCACCGGCUAACUACGUGCCAGCAGCCGCGGUAA